Molecule: long non-coding RNA, 901 nt
Organism: Corvus hawaiiensis (hawaiian crow)
Lineage: Eukaryota; Metazoa; Chordata; Aves; Passeriformes; Corvidae
Exons: 3
Source: RefSeq, a predicted model, not a curated record
CUGGAGACGGCGAACGCGGCCUUGGCGAUUGUUGCGCCCGUGUCGCCUCAGCCGCCCGGCGAACGCGGCCUUGGCGAUUGUUGCGCCCGUGUCGCCUCAGCCGCCCGGCGAACGCGGCCUUGGCGAUUGUUGCGCCCGUGUCGCCUCAGCCGCCCGGCGAACGCGGCCUUGGCGAUUGUUGCGCCCGUGUCGCCUCAGCCGCCCGGCGAACGCGGCCUUGGCGAUUGUUGCGCCCGUGUCGCCUCAGCCGCCCGGCGAACGCGGCCUUGGCGAUUGUUGCGCCCGUGUCGCCUCAGCCGCCCGGCGAACGCGGCCUUGGCGAUUGUUGCGCCGGUGUCGCCUCAGCCGCCCGGCGAACGCGCUCCUGACAGGCUGCUCGCAGCCUGAGCUAGCGCAUGCGGGCGGCUACGCUGGGCGAUUCGCCAAGUGAAUGUUCGCAGAGAAUUGGUCUCUGAGAGCGAGUCUUGAAUUUCGUUUGAAGCUUUUUUGAGGCACAGUCGCUGAUAUUCACGACAUUGUCCAAAAUGGCUUCUGAAUUCCUGAAAAAGACAUCAGCACCCGGACGUCUUUUGUCCAGGGUAAAAAUGAAGACUCAAAGUCUGCUUCCCCCUCUGUUCCAGAGGGAGAAGUCUCUCAACAAGGAGGCCAGCACUGGGGAGUGUAGUCUGCCCAGAAUUGGCCCAUUUCUAGACAAGAGUGAGACUAGACCAAAGGUAGCCUUUUCCUGCUCUUUUCCUUGCUGUUUGAUGCGAGGUUUGUAGAGGGUGUGUGCUUGUGACAGACUUGCUUCCAGCAAAAUACCUCAGUGUCCAGGUCCUGUUGUCAUUGCAAACUGCUGGUAAUGGUGGAGUUGAAGUCCUGAUCUGCACUAAGCCAACACAAAUAACCUCUGCUGAAGCUG